GGCAGCAGUGGGGAAUAUUGCACAAUGGGCGAAAGCCUGAUGCAGCGACGCCGCGUGAGGGAUGAAGGCCUUCGGGUUGUAAACCUCUUUCAGUAGGGAAGAAGCGACUGGGUUCUCUCAGACGUGACGGUACCUGCAGAAGAAGCGCCGGCUAACUACGUGCCAGCAGCCGCGGUAAUACGUAGGGCGCAAGCGUUGUCCGGAAUUAUUGGGCGUAAAGAGCUCGUAGGCGGUUUGUCGCGUCUGGUGUGAAAACUCAAGGCUCAACCUUGAGCUUGCAUCGGGUACGGGCAGACUAGAGUGUGGUAGGGGUGACUGGAAUUCCUGGUGUAGCGGUGGAAUGCGCAGAUAUCAGGAGGAACACCGAUGGCGAAGGCAGGUCACUGGGCCACUACUGACGCUGAGGAGCGAAAGCGUGGGGAGCUUUUUGGAU
Molecule: ribosomal RNA, 433 nt
Filed under: uncultured bacterium
Lineage: Bacteria
Description: bacterial SSU rRNA
Rfam family: Bacterial small subunit ribosomal RNA
Source: RNAcentral